Long non-coding RNA from Papaver somniferum (opium poppy), 1933 nucleotides. RefSeq lists it as uncharacterized. NCBI's taxonomy places the organism in Eukaryota, Viridiplantae, Streptophyta, Magnoliopsida, Ranunculales, Papaveraceae. The transcript is spliced from 4 exons. The record is from RefSeq and is a predicted model, not a curated record.
UUGGCUUAACAAAAAAUAUCUAGCCAAAUCCAAAAUGUUCCGAAUUGGAUUCUCGACAGGGGUUUCAUGAUUAGUGUGAUGUGUGAUUUGAGGCGAGGGUUUUUGUUCCAAUUAGACGAAAAUGAUGUGGUUCGUUUUUUUUUAUUUCGAUUUGGAUCUAAGGAAAAUGAGCUCCCAGAUUUAUAGAACAACAUCAACAAGAACACACUUAUCUCUUUAUCUAAAGGUCAUCGCUCUAACGAGGUACAGGCAGUGGUGGAUCCCGAUAUUAUUGUCAGUGUUGUUCCUAAGGUUUGGCGGUGCUAAUAGGAUGGAUUGGUGGAGUUGACAGUGGUACUGUAAGAACAAGGGUAUCUCUCGAUGAAAUCAGGGUCAAGGUGCAAAGCAAAUGGUGUUACAUGUUGGUUUAAUGAGCUUUCCUUGUCUGAUGUCAAUUGAUUAUUGCUUUAAGGUUGUUAAACUACUUAGAUCUCAAAUGGAUAUUUUUGUUUGCAAGCUUUGUAACAAAUGAGUAUUCUGUCCUGUAGAUUCCUAGGUUCUUGAAUGAAUGAUCUGAAAUUUUAGUUAGUUGGUGUUAUAUGAUGCUUGAAGAAUGUUGUCGGGUAUUUUUCAUCUGUAUCACAUGAAUUGUAUGGUUAAAUUUCUAAGAUAGGUUACUAUUUAGUUGCUUUGCAAAGAAGAAAACCAUUUGCAUCUACUUACCUUUUAUUUGAUUAAUUUUAUGCUAAUUGGUUUUUGGUUUAGCUGUGCCCUGUAACUGUUUGUUGACUUUGUUCAAAAUGAGCCAAACGACAUGAGCAUUGUGGCCAGGGUUUUCUAGUAAGCUAACUAGUUUUCAAAAUGGGUUGUGCUAUCAGAAAGCAUGUGUAGACACUAGCAGGUUGGUCAUGGUAUAUGUACUUGCGUUUGUAUUUGUAAUUUUUAGAUUGGCAUGUAGAAAGGUUAAGAUUUAAGAAAUAAAGUCUUGUUGAUCUUUGGUCUUUUUGGGUCUCUUUGAGUGUCUUAGUUGUACUGGAUACAACAAACUUGACAGACUUUCAUGAAAGACUUUUUGGCUCGUGUUUUUUUUUUUUGUUUUGGGUGGUAUCUAAAAUGAGAUUUAUGAACUACUGUUAGUUUUUUUCUUCAAAAGAUAGAAACCUAUCUAGCUUUAAGAAAUACGGUUGACCAACUGAAGUAUUGAAUAGUGAAAUUAAUUUAUUAUAUGUACUUACCCUACGUACUUGAAAUGUUGAUGGAAAAUGGAUACUCACAAUAAUGUGAGCUUAAGAUACUGGGAGUGACUAUUUAAUGGUGCUCGUUGAAUGGAUUUUUGGUGCAUCCGUAGUGGUAUUUAGUGGUGCUCGUUGAAUGGAUUUUUGGUGCAUCCGUAAUGGUACAAUAUAACGUAUUGUGGAUUAUACAUACGUUGCUUAUAAAAGCAUAGGGAGUUCUGGAGUUUCGUCUCUUCCAUAGUUAAUUAUUCUUUAUUUUGGUUAUUACAUGGUUUUGUUUCUGAAUGUUACUUGCCUUUCUCGGUAUGUCAUUGAUAUGAGGUGGGGAUUGAGAAACAUAGAUAAUGGACCAGCACCGCUCCGACUCAGUUCGGCUUUCAGGAUUUAAACUUGGGCCUGUGAAACAUACAUCAGAAGCAGUAGUGAAGAAGCAUGGUGCCAUAAGGUUAACUUCUGAAGUUAAAGGACUAAUUGUGCUGAAAACAACCUAGGUAACUGUUCACCACUCUUCUCACAUGUCGGUCGUUGUAAAGCAAUUUACUGGUGAAGCAGAGUUACAUUACAAUACGCUAGACAAAAUUUAUCAAUUCUGAAUCUCAGUUAUGUGGUUGUUAUCUACAUUUGACAAUGAUCUUUUGCAUUUUUGCUUGGAAAGGAGCUUGAACAUUUCUAUGCCUCUUUGUAUGCUGGGGUUUAUUAUGAAAUCUCAGGUGCGUAAA